Long non-coding RNA from Lolium rigidum, 1112 nucleotides. RefSeq lists it as uncharacterized. NCBI's taxonomy places the organism in Eukaryota, Viridiplantae, Streptophyta, Magnoliopsida, Poales, Poaceae. The transcript has 10 exons. The record is from RefSeq and is a predicted model, not a curated record.
GCUCUCCCCUUGCCCCUUUGUCGAAGCAAUAGGAAAGGACAAGGCCACCAACCCAUGAUGAUGCACUCACAGCUGCCCAGGCCUCCCUGAUCCUCCCUCGCAUGUCCUUAUACUGCCAUCAGUGGCACCACUCGAGAUCAAUGCCAUGAGAUGGAUGCUACUAAUUAGGGAGUAGGUUUAUAUACGUUUGAAGGUUGCAGCUCACAAAACAAUUCGGUGGUUUUUGAUAGUUGGAUAAAAUAUGGGUUAAAGCAUUGUUAGUAGAAGGAAAGAAGCACAACGUCAAGCUGCAGAGAUAUCUUGAAGAAACCAGGCCGGGCGGUGGGCUAACUCACCACGUGGCGUUGCUUUUGGGUGCAAAGCAGAUGAAAAAUCAAGAUUGGUCUACGGUCAAUCCACUUUUUGCAAGGGGCACUGGAGGAGGGCAAGCUGAUCAGCAUGAAUGGCAACAGCUCUCAACCACAAUCAGCCGUAACAGCAAGACACACAUGGAUCAUCAACUGGCCACUCUGCGGCAUCCAUGCUGCGCAGCGCCAGCAUGCUUGGCGACAGCAUUCUCCUCAUCAUAGCGCUCUGCUUCCACUCCACGAUAGCCCGCUGAGAUUUGACCUAUUGCAUUUCAAAGAUUUGAUCUAUUAAAAGUGCGGUGAACAGGAGGUGGAUAGUCAUCUUUCUUUAUUGUGAUCAGGCUUGAUCGUUCAGUAAUGAAAUCCCCCUGAAGGUGAAAGUUGUGCGAUAUUGCGAUGCUACUGAACCAUUUUUAUUACCAGCUUGUUGUGUUCAUGUGUCCAGUCGAGCUUGUGGGGGAGGGCAGCAACGGGAGUAGGGUACAACGAGCUCGCGGAUCCUAGAACAUGUUAAAGGAGUAGAGCUUGCGCUCAGUGGGAUGGUUGGCCACCGGCGUGAAGCAAAAAAGCUGAGGAGGACCUGUCAGGAGGUUGGGACAAUGAUGCCCUGUAGUCUUUGGUGGCAGAGGAUGCUGGCAGGGCACAAGAUUGCAGCAGAUGAAGAUGGCGUGGCGUUCAAACCUUGGGAAGUAAGUGACUAUUGUUUCUUGUGCUUCCUAAUGUUAUCCUUUGUUUACCAAAUUAUCACGGAGAAACUUUGUUCUU